RNAcentral lists this long non-coding RNA (215 nucleotides) under Gossypium barbadense (sea-island cotton). Its description in RNAcentral is "long non-coding RNA (GBAR_LNC020958)". Lineage: Eukaryota; Viridiplantae; Streptophyta; Magnoliopsida; Malvales; Malvaceae. The record is from RNAcentral.
UCCUUGAUAGGUUGCAUGUUCUAUUACAAAAAUAGCAUGUCUUACAAAAUUCAUGGGCAUCUUUGAACAAAUUCAGCCAAUAGAACUCAAAUUGGAGUACCUUUGUUGCGGUUCUUACUCCUCCAAAAUGACCUCCAUACGGGACUGAAUGACAAUGUUGUAAUAGACUGUUCAUCUCUUCAUCACAAAUAAUCUUCGAAUUAUUUGAUCAGCAC